RNAcentral lists this ribosomal RNA (468 nucleotides) under uncultured bacterium. Its description in RNAcentral is "partial 16S ribosomal RNA". It matches the Rfam family "Bacterial small subunit ribosomal RNA", at positions 28 to 507 of the family's 1533-position model. The record is from RNAcentral.
GACGAACGCUGGCGGCGGGCUUAACACAUGCAAGUCGAACGGAAAGGCCCUGCUUGUGUGGGGUUCUCGCGUGGCGAAGGGGAGAGUAACACGUGAGUCACCUGGCCUGGACUUGGUGAUAACUUCAGGAAACUGGUGCUAAUACCGGAUACGAGCUCCUGCUGCAUGGUGGGGUUUGGAACGUUUCGGCGGUUGGGGAUGGACUCGCGGCUUAUCAGCUUGUUGGGCGGGUAGUUGCUUACCAAGGCUUUGACGGAUAGCCGGCCUGAGAGGGUGAACGGCCACCUUGGGACUGAGGUACGGACCAGACUCCUACGGGAGGCAGCAGUGGAGAAUAUUGCCCAAUGGGCGGGCGCCUGAUGCAGAAGCGCCGCGUGCGGGAUGCAGGCCUUCGGGUUGUAAACCGCUUUAGCCUGUGACGAAGCGUGAGUGACGUUAAUGGGUAAAGAAGCACCGGCUAACUACGUG